CAUCGUUUUUGCGCCUGAAUAGUACUCUAUGGAGGGUGCUGACUCUGAUCUGCUGGUCCCUGGCCAGGCCGUUGUUGCAGAAAACGGACAAGAGGAGCGGACUGCAGCAGGAGCUGGUGUGAGCAGUUCUUGCUUGUAUCCACCAGCCCUCACCCUUCCCUGCUGAUCAGAUGCCUUCAGCAUGGUUGUAUGAGUGCAUGUGGGUCCACGGUGCAUGAAUGUGUGUGCAUAUGCAGGGUGCGUAUCUGCGGCAGGCUCGCUGUGUGCGCACACACACCUUCACGCAUGCGCACGGCACCUGUGUGGGCUUCCAGGCUGUCCACCGCCCAUCCCACACGGCGCUGAGGCUGCAGCUCUGCCGGCUGUCCUCGCACCGCUCCUGACAGGAAGCCAGGCUUCCUGGGGUCUUAAAUCAGCAAAGCAGGAAGGAAAUAAAGGCCGCAGAGCUGUUGGAGUGGAAGAAGCCAACUCUAAGGCGGAACCCACGCCUCUCGUUACACGACCACGUAGGGUCUCCCCGCGCGGCACCCUCAGGCCCCGCAGCCGCGGACAGAACUGCAUCGCGCUGCUUCCUCGGACCUAAGCGAACCCUCGGCCUCCCUCUGCUGUGGUCUCCUCUGCUGCAGUGCAUCCCUCACGUGAGACGGGAAUCCUAAAAUUGCCCUCCCGCUGGCUGUGCGAUUGCAAGUAUCUUAAGCCAUGGCUCGGGUAGAGCAAGUCUGACAGAAGGAAUCGGCCUCACGAGGCAGCACCUGGCCUCGGACCUCACGGUGCUAGUGCUCAACUUCGGGAGGUCUCACCUGACCUGCGUCACACACGAUCUGCUCCGGGUGAUUUGUUGUUCGGCUUGUUGUGCUGCUAGGGUGGGAACACACGUCUCCGCCCACACACGUACUAAGCACACGCUGCACCCCUGAGCUGCACCCCCCAGCCCACGCCUCGAGUUUCUGAGGACCACCCACGCUGCGGCAGAGAGCACUCCCUGGAUCUGCCCUGAAAAUGGAGCAGACAUUACAAAGUGUUGGGUUGAAAGGAGGGUAAGUGUGAUCUGAACGGAAACGGCUGAGCUGCUCUGCCCUGCUCUCUGUGGCUCCGUGAGAAAUUGCUGCUUACACACUCAUCAGGAGCCGAGCGUGGCGGCGCACGCCUGGAAUCCCAGCACUCGGGAGGCUGAGGCAGGAGGAUCACUGUG
Molecule: long non-coding RNA, 1192 nt
Organism: Chinchilla lanigera (long-tailed chinchilla)
Lineage: Eukaryota; Metazoa; Chordata; Mammalia; Rodentia; Chinchillidae
Exons: 5
Source: RefSeq, a predicted model, not a curated record